AUUUCUACCUGGGCACAGUGAUGCCCUGAACCAAAUCAGGUUUCUGGUAGAAGACAGAAACAGGCGUAGAUAUUGGGCAGGCAAUUAGCAGUGCUUCCUGUCUUACAGAAAACUAAGACUCAUAUAUGUGAAGGAAUUGAUCCAAGAAUUCACAGUUAGUAAGUGAUGGAGCUAAUAUUCACACUUGGCUUCUUUGGACUCCAAAUGCUUUUGUGUACUGGGUUAUAAAGUUAUAAUGGAAGGCUGGUGCUGGCUUCUUGCCUUAACAUGUAGCACUAAAAGACUGGUAGUUUAUCCUGUAGGAAAGGAUGGCUUUGGACAUAUGGAGAAGAAAAAACAGAAUAUUUCUAGGAGAUGAAUUUAUUUCACCUGCAGUGAGGAACACAGGAUAUUGGUUCCAGUUUUGUCACUGACUUAUAACUUAGCUCCUGGACCUGAAGCAGACCUGCAGAGAGGAUCAAGUGCAGAGACAAGCUGCUGCUGAGAUCAUCAUAGGGGACCUCUUCUAACAUAUGAGUUCCUGAGGAAGUGCUGUGACCUUCCAAUGCUGCCACUGGUAGUCUCAUUUCAAAGAGUAAAAUGUGAAAAUCCAAUGGCAGCAGCUAUUGUGAUAUGCCAGACAGCAGGAAUUGGGACUAAAAAUCAAGGGAUACUUGUGAUAAUAGAUCCAUAGUACUUUGGAGCUGGAAGAAACCCAGCUUCAAAAAACAGCUUGAUUUGCAGCUCUUCAUUCAAAAAGAAUCCCAUCCAGGGUAUGACAUUGAACUUACUCAUCACGUCUCUAUAGUGUCUUCUGGUAUGUAAUACUUUCUCAGUCUUUCUUUAUUUCCAUAACCUUGAUUAACUGUUUUGAAGAUUACUGGUCAGCAUUUUGUAGAAUGGCUGUCAGUUUGACUUUGAUGUUUUUCUUAUGAUUAUGUUAGGGGUAUGGGGUUUGAAGAAGCAUACCAUGGGAGCGAAGUGCUCUUCUCAUCAUAUCAGGGGGUACAUAAUAGCAACAUGGUUUAUCUUUGAUCAUAUUAAUCUGGAUCACUUGGUUAAGAUAGUGCCUGCGAGGUUUCUUUUUUUGAGAUGGAGUCUUGCUCUAUCGCCCAGGCUGGAC
Molecule: long non-coding RNA, 1102 nt
Organism: Homo sapiens (human)
Lineage: Eukaryota; Metazoa; Chordata; Mammalia; Primates; Hominidae
Exons: 3
Source: RefSeq, a predicted model, not a curated record